UUCUUCUCUUCCUUUAUAUUCUUUUGAUUUUCCCGCUGUAAGCUCAUUCCUUUCUUUUCUCCGCCACAGCCAAACUUCCAACUCCUUCGACGCCACUUUCGGCAUCACGACUCCUCCUCAUCUUCCAUACCACACACCACCAAGCUCUGACGAAAUGCAAGAGAUCGCCGCCUGCCAACGGAGGCGACGAACGGACGGAAGGAAUUCGUCUUCCCGAAACAGAGUAGUCCCUAGCGAAUCGACGGCGACGGAGGCCGGCCAGCGGAGGUGACGGGCCACCACCGCCGACCGAAGCCAUGGAAACUGGUGACGUGGCUUCGGGUGAACGAUUCUCUCCUGAGGUUCGUUCUGGCCUUCAUGCAGCUUGCUAUAGAUCAGUUGGUGGUACAAUUGUGCGGGAGCUUGAAGAAUGUGUCGUUGAAUUUGUUCGAGAGACGCUAAAGCAGCGUUUCUUCGUAGGUUCUGUCUGUGGAUGCUUGAUAGUGAAUUCAUAGGUUAUCGACAUUACACGCUGCAACAUCAGCGAUGAUCUCUGCAAGGCAACAAGAUAUGCAGAGACAGAAGCUCUUGAUAUUCUUCUCGAGCAAUGGCAAUGGACUGGAUUUUCAUCUACAGAAGUUGCAGAGAAAUUUUCAGCAUGCUCCCUCUAUGUGAGCUGAACCAUGCAUAAUGUGUGCAGCAGCAUCAUCAAGCAUUGAGGAAGCAUAUUAUGGCUGUGCAAAUGAUAUAUUUGGAGGCUGUGGCUCAAUAGUCAUUGCAUUCAAGUACCUCUGAGGCAUGCAUUAGUAAUGGAAAUUCUAGAUCAUAUGCACCCAAGUAUAGUUGAUUCAGUGGAACAGUGUUCAGCCAUAUAAUGGUUGCAAAGAAUGGGUGUAGAAUUUGCUCAGUAACAAAAGGUAGGAGUAAUAGAUGCCCAGUCUUCUUUUUUUUUUUUUUUUUGGCCAAUUUUCAGAUGCCUUAUUUAUCAAAUGUAGCUUUUUCCUCUAGACUGGGUAUUCUUAGCCAGAUUGUCAUUUGAGAAAUGGGACGUCAUGUCCUUGGUUAAGGAAAAACACAUAGUGCAGUAUCUUAAUAGCUAAUCCAUUUGUUAGACUCGUUGAGAGAAGUAUCUUCUUGAUCCUUAUUGUGAAUUACUAACAUAUAUGGUUCUUGGUCAA
Eucalyptus grandis is the source of this 1157-nucleotide long non-coding RNA. RefSeq lists it as uncharacterized. Lineage: Eukaryota; Viridiplantae; Streptophyta; Magnoliopsida; Myrtales; Myrtaceae. The transcript is spliced from 5 exons. The record is from RefSeq and is a predicted model, not a curated record.